AUGGACGCUGGCGCGGUGGCUGGAUGCCUCCGGGACAAGACCGUCCUUGUCACCGGCUCAACUGGCUUCCUCGGAAAAUUGAUGGUGGAGAAGAUACUGAGAGUACAGCCGGACGUGAAGAAGGUCUACCUGCUGGUGCGCGCGCCGGAUGCCGCCUCCGCCGAGCAGCGUAUCCUGACCCAGGUGCUAGGGAAGGACCUGUUCAACACCCUUCGGGAAAAGCACGGGCUUGCUGGCUUCCAGAAGCUGAUCAAAGAGAAGAUAGUUCCUCUCGCCGGAGACGUCGGGACUCGCAACUUCGGGCUUGACAGCUCCAGAUCUGAUGACCUGUGUCAGGAGAUUGAUGUCAUCGUCCAUGGGGCUGCAACGACUAGCUUUUAUGAAAGGUACGAUGUUGCUUUGGCAUCGAAUGCAUUAGGAGCCCAAUAUGGAUGCGAAUUUGCAAAGAAGUGUCCUAACCUGAAAUUGUUGCUUCAUGUUUCCACUGCUUUUGUAGCUGGUACUCAAGAAGGACUUUUACUGGAGAAAGCACUCACGAUGGGUGAAGCACUACGGCCCGGUUGCCACUUGGACAUUGAAGCUGAGUUGCAGCUGGUUGAGAAGGUCAAGGCUGAACUCGCAGAGGCGAAGAGUGGUGGUUCAGACCAAUCAUCGGAGAAGACAGCCAUGAAAGAACUUGGCUUAAAGAGGGCUUGUCAUUUUGGAUGGCCAAAUGUAUACACAUUUACCAAGGCUAUGGGGGAGAUGUUACUUGAGCAGCAGAGGGGAGACCUUCCUGUCGUUAUUAUUCGACCCACCAUGGUAACCAGCACUUAUCACGAUCCAUUUCCUGGGUGGAUAGAAGGGGCGAGGACAAUUGAUGCUCUGAUUGUCGCCUACAAUGAGCAGGCAUUCCCAUGUUUCGUAGGUGAUCUCAAAGACACAAUGGAUGCUGUUCCUGCAGAUAUGGUGGUAAAUGCAACACUGGCAGCCAUGGCUGUUCACUGGAAUGAGAAAGGGCAAGUCAUUUACCAUGUGAGCUCGGCAAUCCGAAAUCCAUUGACCGGUCAAGUUUUUGAGGACGCAUGCUGGGAUUACUUCUCCAUCCAUCCCCGUGUACUAGAAAAUGGGAAACCCCUCGAAAACAGAAGGCCAUACCUGUUCAAGCGAUUCGCUUACUUCCGCGCAUAUCUCAUCCUGAUGUAUAAGCUACCACUUGAGAUGUUGCAUGCAGUGAGCCUAUUACUCUGUGGGUUGUUUUCCCAAUAUUACAACAAGCACAACCGAAGAUACACUUUCUUAAUGCUCUUGGUCAAGCUGUAUGCACCAUAUGCCUUCUUCAAAGGAUGCUUUGAUGACACAAACUUAACAAGAUUGAGGAAGGAAGUAAAGAUGGACGGCAAAGAUGGUAGCCUCUUCAACUUCGACCCCAAAUCUAUAGACUGGCACUCAUAUCUCUUGAACGUCCACGUCCCAGCUGUGCUAAUGUAUGGCCGCAAAAAUAAGGGAAGCGUAUAG
Molecule: ribosomal RNA, 1497 nt
Filed under: Triticum aestivum (bread wheat)
Lineage: Eukaryota; Viridiplantae; Streptophyta; Magnoliopsida; Poales; Poaceae
Description: partial small subunit ribosomal RNA
Source: RNAcentral